Small nuclear RNA from Microtus oregoni (creeping vole), 188 nucleotides. RefSeq annotates it as U2 spliceosomal RNA. NCBI's taxonomy places the organism in Eukaryota, Metazoa, Chordata, Mammalia, Rodentia, Cricetidae. The record is from RefSeq and is a predicted model, not a curated record. The transcript has a single exon.
AUCGCUUCUCGGCCUUUUGGCUAAGAUCAAGUGUAGUCUCUGGGAAUUCUUAACUUGGCAUUAGGAUCAUAGAUUUAAGAGACUUAGAUUCAUGGAAUUUGAAAGGGGCAAGAUGACGUGGGGUGGAGGUGACCUUUUCAAGGUCACAGGGGGCGGAACUGAAGCAUUCCGCCUUGAAGGCAGCUUCC